CCUACGGGGGGCAGCAGUGGGGAAUAUUGCACAAUGGGGGAAACCCUGAUGCAGCGACGCCGCGUGAGUGAAGACGUAUUUCGGUACGUAAAGCUCUAUCAGCAGGGAAGAAAAUGACGGUACCUGACUAAGAAGCUCCGGCUCACUACGUGCCAGCAGCCGCGGUAAUACGUAGGGGGCAAGCGUUAUCCGGAUUUACUGGGUGUAAAGGGAGCGUAGACGGCAGCGCAAGUCUGGAGUGAAAUCCCAUGGCUUAACCAUAGAACUGCAUUGGAAACUGUGCAGCUAGAGUGCAGGAGAGGUGAGCGGAAUUCCUAGUGUAGCGGUGAAAUGCGUAGAUAUUAGGAGGAACACCAGUGGCGAAGGCGGCUUACUGGACUGUAACUGACGUUGAGGCUCGAAAGCGUGGGGAGCAAACAGGAUUAGAUACCCGAGUAGUC
Molecule: ribosomal RNA, 440 nt
Filed under: uncultured bacterium
Lineage: Bacteria
Description: partial 16S ribosomal RNA
Rfam family: Bacterial small subunit ribosomal RNA
Source: RNAcentral